ACUGAAGUUCAGAACGCAGCUUUAUGAAGUGUUGGGCCUUAUAACUAUUAUCGGCCCACUCAACAAAAGAGCAGAAAACCCAAUUUGCAUCCUUGAAACCCUAAUUCCUGAUCUUCACCAUCUCUAUAAAUACUUCUGCUGCUGCCACUUCUUCUUCCUGUACAGCUCAACCCAGCUCCGCCUCCUGCAUCAUCAGUUUCUACCUCAUACUAUGGUACGGCCCUUAACCUGCUGGCACAUCACUUCACAUCUUCCUGAUUAUGUUUUGUUUUUAUUUCCUUACAAGCUAAGCUAGCAAACGCACUCUGUCCCUAAACCUUCGAUGUUUUGAGGCAAUUUCUUCGUUUGCAACAUUAAAACGAUGAAAGUAGUAUAACUAUUACUUUCUGUAAUUCCAGCUAACUCGCCCAUAUGAUCUUUAAUCCUGUGAUCUUAUGGGCACAUGACUGGAUUACAUCACAAGUCAACGUUUUUAAUUCUGGUUUUAUUGCCCAA
Long non-coding RNA from Populus trichocarpa (black cottonwood), 495 nucleotides. RefSeq lists it as uncharacterized. The transcript is spliced from 2 exons. Lineage: Eukaryota; Viridiplantae; Streptophyta; Magnoliopsida; Malpighiales; Salicaceae. The record is from RefSeq and is a predicted model, not a curated record.